RNAcentral lists this ribosomal RNA (478 nucleotides) under uncultured bacterium. RNAcentral describes it as "partial 16S ribosomal RNA". It matches the Rfam family "Bacterial small subunit ribosomal RNA", at positions 28 to 507 of the family's 1533-position model. The record is from RNAcentral.
GAUGAACGCUAGCGGCAGGCCUAACACAUGCAAGUCGAGGGAGAAGCCCUUUCGGGGGCAGAAACCGGCGCACGGGUGCGUAACGCGUAUGCAACCUACCUUUCACAGGGGGAUAGCCCGAAGAAAUUUGGAUUAAUACCCCAUAAUAUUAUUGGAUGGCAUCAUUUGAUAAUUAAAACUGCGGUGGUGAAAGAUGGGCAUGCGUCCUAUUAGCUAGUUGGAGUGGUAACGGCACCCCAAGGCUACGAUAGGUAGGGGUCCUGAGAGGGAGAUCCCCCACACUGGUACUGAGACAGGGACCAGACUCCUACGGGAGGCAGCUGUGAGGAAUAUUGGUCAAUGGUCGGAAGACUGAACCAGCCAUGCCGCGUGCAGGAAGAAUGCCUUAUGGGUUGUAAACUGCUUUUAUAUGGGAAGAAUAAGGCGUACGUGUACGUUGAUGACGGUACCAUAUGAAUAAGCAUCGGCUAACUCCGUG